This 345-nucleotide ribosomal RNA is filed under the name Triticum aestivum (bread wheat). RNAcentral describes it as "partial small subunit ribosomal RNA". The record is from RNAcentral. Lineage: Eukaryota; Viridiplantae; Streptophyta; Magnoliopsida; Poales; Poaceae.
AUGGUGUCGUGGAGCGACGAGACCAGUGAGGAUUCAGUGCUGAACAUCUCCUCCUCCUACGAUGGCAUCAUCAAGCUUCCUGUUACGAUGCACGAUCCGAAUUUCAAUGGCACUGACGCAGAUGUGAAUGUUUUGUGUGAACACGAUGAGCCGGCCGAGCGCUUUGUUGCAUUUGAAGGGAUGCACACGGACAAGAGGUUCCCUGGAUGUGCUAAGAAGGAAGGCCUAAACUGUGGAGUAGUUCAAUGGAUUGAUUUUGAAUGGCCAGACUCAAUGGAGAAGGCAUUGGCCAAGCUAUGGGAUAUGUAUGAGGAGAUUAAUCAGCUAGGACCAAUGACAAUCUAG